This 355-nucleotide RNase P RNA is filed under the name Oscillospiraceae bacterium. RNAcentral's name for it is "RNase P RNA component class A". It matches the Rfam family "Bacterial RNase P class A". Rfam says of the family: Ribonuclease P (RNase P) is a ubiquitous endoribonuclease, found in archaea, bacteria and eukarya as well as chloroplasts and mitochondria. Its best characterised activity is the generation of mature 5'-ends of tRNAs by cleaving the 5'-leader elements of precursor-tRNAs. Lineage: Bacteria; Bacillati; Bacillota; Clostridia; Eubacteriales; Oscillospiraceae. The record is from RNAcentral.
AGAGCAGACUAUGCGGUUGCGUGGACGUUUAGUUCACGAGGAAAGUCCGGGCAUCAUAGAGCAGGAUAACUGCUAACGACAGCCGGAGGUGACUCUAGGGCUAGUGCAACAGAAAAGAGACUGCCAUAUAUUUUAAUAUAUGGCGAUGGUGGAAUGGCGAGGUAAAAGCUCACCAGAAUAUAGGCGACUAUAUUGCUGUGUAAACCCUAUCCGAUGCAACGUUGAUAUGGUAUGAAUUUAUUUUAACGCUUGCUCGGCGAAUAAAUUCAUAGCAACGGCUUGACUUUUGUGGCGACACAAAAGCUAGAUAAAUAACCGCACACGACAGAACCCGGCUUAUCGGUCUGGUCAGGAA